Molecule: transfer RNA, 71 nt
Filed under: Argopistes tsekooni
Lineage: Eukaryota; Metazoa; Arthropoda; Insecta; Coleoptera; Chrysomelidae
Description: tRNA-Gln
Source: RNAcentral
UUAUGCUUUAGUAUAUGAUGUACUUUAAUUUUUGAUAUUAAAAGGAAUAGUUUAAUUCUAUUAAGCGUAAU